GUUGAGUCAUUUUCGGCUGAAAAGGGUACGGAUACCGUUAAAUGGUGAGGGAAGGGCAUAAGUGUAAAAGAAAAGAGAAGGGUAUAAUGGUAGAUUAGCGUGAAAACCGAGGGACAGAGAUAAGUGUGCCAGACUGUCCCGCCAAGCCACUUCUCUUCCCAUUGAAUCUUGCAUCACAAGCACACUACUCGUAAAAUAUUUACCCUCCCCCCUUACUCCGUGUGUAUGUAUAUAUAUAUAUAUAUAUAUUAGUUUGCAGUAAAAAGCCGAAUUCACCGCCAAAAAACAUUGAUUUCGUACGAUUUAGUCCAUAACCACUUUGCCACCUAUUAGUGCAUUAAUCACAAAAUUUUCCAUCAAAACCUAAUUCAACAUUCUUGUCUUUUCCUCUUUGUCAAAGGACUGAGAGGCAUGGAUUUUAUUUCCGGAAGUCAAUUGCUUUGAAGAGAAAUGGAGGACAUGGAAAGUAAGGCUUCUCCAGCUACUACGAUUGUCAAGGAAUAUGUACAUCGCGGGUAAUUUGCCGAGGUUCAGGAAGAGCAGUCCUGUCAAAUUAUUGGAUCUUUCAGGCACAAAUUUCUCGGGGAAGUUAAUUUUUAGAAACGAGGUAGCUCAGACUGGACCCCAAAGCAGGUCGUGGGGUCAAUCACUAAAGAUGAGGAAGAGGUUGUGGAGACCUAACAUGGUUUAGCAGAAAUAUUCUCCGACAAAGACACCACAAUAAGAAUAAAUCGGAGAAUUCCCUUCAGAAGCAAAUCCUCCAGCUUUGCCAGAAGAGCCCUGCAACUGCAUUUCAAGAUUCUGCAGUUUCAAGGGAGGACUUGAGCUCAACCUGUUCCAUGAGAACUUCUAAAAAGAAACUGCUAAAAUCAAUUCCUUGGACAAAAGAAGAAAAGUCGGAUUCUCAUGACAAUGAAAUCUUCCCUAUGAAAUCAGAAACUUGUGUUCCUAAAGAAAAUCUACAUAGCACAAUUAAUUAAAAUGAAGAUGCGGGCGGGGAUUUGAUAGAGGUGGAAGGGGGUUGCGAUGGAAGCCAAGAAACCCAAGUAGAUACAGCCGAACGUGGAAUCAGAACCGCGGGGGGAUGAGGAGGAGGUGGAAUGGGGUUGUGACAGUCGGGAUUCCGACCAGUAAAGGAGGGCCAGUUGGCAGCGUUCGGGGUAAUGCAGAGGUAGAGCAGAUGUCACGACAAGGGAGAAAAAGGGUCGGUAGGUUAAUGUGUUUUUCGGUGAUUCAUUUAGAUAGAUAUUAAAAUUAUAAUUACAUAUAAAUGGUAUAAACUUGAGUUUGAGUUUAUGUGGAUAAUUUGUUUGUAAUAGUCUCUUAAAGUCAAAUUCAAACAUGUUUUCAUAAUUAA
Long non-coding RNA from Mangifera indica (mango), 1357 nucleotides. RefSeq lists it as uncharacterized. The transcript has 2 exons. NCBI's taxonomy places the organism in Eukaryota, Viridiplantae, Streptophyta, Magnoliopsida, Sapindales, Anacardiaceae. The record is from RefSeq and is a predicted model, not a curated record.